Molecule: long non-coding RNA, 971 nt
Organism: Antechinus flavipes (yellow-footed antechinus)
Lineage: Eukaryota; Metazoa; Chordata; Mammalia; Dasyuromorphia; Dasyuridae
Exons: 3
Source: RefSeq, a predicted model, not a curated record
AGCUAGCUAUGUUCAGGCAGCAAUAAUGGAGGAGAAUGCAAUAAGCUGUCACUUGAAGACAGACUUGAUGCCCUGAGCCUUAAUGGGAGAAUAACACAAUAGGGUCAGACUAAAAAGGUUUCCUUAUGAAAAUUUUAUCAGCAACUUUGGUAAAUGGCUGAGGGAAAGGUGCCUUGCUCUCAGGCAAACCUGGGACCUGUUUUUACAAGGUGCAGCCGGCCCGCAUUGCAUCACCCCCCACAAGAUAUUAAGGGCACUCAAAUUGAAUUAACACCAAAUCAGUCCGGUGCACUUAACAAUACAAAUGCACUUAAGGGAUGCCUCAGAAUGAUUUGUGACUAAAGAAAGCAAAGAAGAAAACGGCCUUCAAGACCACAAAGGCGGUGUUGGAUGUCAUCUACAGGAAAAGCCAUAAGUAGAGCUUAGAAUACCGGAAAACCAUGAACUUCGGGGGCUCUCAGAUACCUCGGACGCAGCCGUAAAGUAGAUGGCCGCUCUUGCGGUAUGCAGAAACAAUUGAUAAAUAAAUUACAGCCAAUUUUCUUAGUGGCACGGUCUCCAUUACCUCUGACAGCAGCGUAACUGCUCGGCUAAAAUGAGACGAGGCGAAUAAUGGCGUAUCGGAUAGCCCCGCGCGGAAACUCUUUGCCAGCUGCCAGGCCUCCUCAUGGCGGCGAUGACACCGAGAUCCCCCGGAAGGGCUCGGUGCUGAGCUGGGGAAUAAGAUGUUGAAGAGAAAUGACUGUAAAGAUAAAAGGUUAAAAAAAAAAGUGGGAAGGGAAGAUAUCUGAAAAAGGCAAGAAAAACACAAAAUGAGAAGAUGAAUUAUUGAAUAAUUCUUAAACAUAAUAAUUAAGUUAAGAAAACUUGAAAAUUGACUAUAUUAUCCCAAUUAGUUGGUGAAGCAGACAUUUACAGAAUUAACAGCAUUUUAGAGCUAAAAGGGGCCUCAUUGUCUAUCUAGUCAACCC